This 341-nucleotide ribosomal RNA is filed under the name uncultured Leptolinea sp. RNAcentral's name for it is "bacterial SSU rRNA". It matches the Rfam family "Bacterial small subunit ribosomal RNA", at positions 1027 to 1382 of the family's 1533-position model. The record is from RNAcentral. Lineage: Bacteria; Bacillati; Chloroflexota; Anaerolineae; Anaerolineales; Anaerolineaceae.
GGCUUGCACAGGUGCUGCAUGGCUGUCGUCAGCUCGUGUCGUGAGAUGUUCGGUUAAGUCCGCUAACGAGCGCAACCCUCGCUGUGUGUUAUAUGUGUCACACGGGACUGCCGGUCUUAAGCCGGAGGAAGGUGGGGAUGAUGUCAAGUCAGCAUGGCCUUUAUAUCCUGGGCUACACACACGCUACAAUGGCCAACACAAUAGGUUGCUAAGCCGCGAGGUGGCGCCAAUCCAUAAAGUUGGUCUCAGUUCAGAUUGUAGGCUGCAACCCGCCUGCAUGAAGAUGGAGUUGCUAGUAACCGCAGGUCAGCUAUACUGCGGUGAAUACGUUCCCGGGGCUU